UAAGGGAUCUUCCGCAAUGGACGCAAGUCUGACGGAGCGACGCCGCGUGCGCGACGAAGCCCUUCGGGGUGUAAAGCGCUUUUCCGGGGGACGAAACAAGACGGUACCCCGGGAAGAAGCCUCGGCUAACUACGUGCCAGCAGCCGCGGUAAUACGUAGGAGGCAAGCGUUGUCCGGAAUCACUGGGCGUAAAGCGCGUGUAGGUGGAAGAGGAAGUCUGCUGUGAAAGCGCCUGGCUUAACCGGGCGAGGUCGGUGGAAACUCCUCAUCUCGAGGGCGGUAGAGGGGGUGGAAUUCCGGGUGUAGUGGUGAAAUGCGUAGAGAUCCGGAGGAACACCUGUGGCGAAGGCGGCCCCCUGGGCCGCACCUGACGCUGAGACGCGAAAGCGCGGGGAGCGAACGG
This 403-nucleotide ribosomal RNA is filed under the name uncultured bacterium. Its description in RNAcentral is "bacterial SSU rRNA". It matches the Rfam family "Bacterial small subunit ribosomal RNA", at positions 355 to 775 of the family's 1533-position model. The record is from RNAcentral.